Molecule: ribosomal RNA, 499 nt
Filed under: uncultured bacterium
Lineage: Bacteria
Description: partial 16S ribosomal RNA
Rfam family: Bacterial small subunit ribosomal RNA
Source: RNAcentral
ACUCAAAGGAAUUGACGGGGGCCCGCACAAGCGGUGGAGCAUGCGGUUUAAUUCGAUGCAACGCGAAGAACCUUACCUACUCUUGACAUCCUCGGAAUCUUCUGGAAACAGAUGAGUGCCUUCGGGAACCGAGAGACAGGUGCUGCAUGGCUGUCGUCAGCUCGUGUCGUGAGAUGUUGGGUUAAGUCCCGUAACGAGCGCAACCCCCGUCCUUAGUUACCAGCACGUUAUGGUGGGAACUCUAAGGAGACUGCCGGUGAUAAACCGGAGGAAGGUGGGGAUGAUGUCAAGUCAUCAUGGCCCUUACGAGUAGGGCUACACGCGUGCUACAAUGGGCAGUACAAAUGGUCGCCAAACCGCGAGGUGGAGCUAAUCCCAAAAAACUGCUCGUAGUCCGGAUUGGAGUCUGCAACUCGACUCCAUGAAGUUGGAAUCGCUAGUAAUCGCGAAUCAGAACGUCGCGGUGAAUACGUUCUCGGGCCUUGUACACACCGCCCGU